GUGGAUACAGCUCAGUAGUAGAGCCCGUGCUUAGCACACAUGAAGUCCUGGGUUCAAUCCCCAGUACCUCCA
Molecule: transfer RNA, 72 nt
Filed under: Camelus bactrianus (Bactrian camel)
Lineage: Eukaryota; Metazoa; Chordata; Mammalia; Artiodactyla; Camelidae
Also listed under: 2 other names
Rfam family: tRNA
About the family: Transfer RNA (tRNA) molecules are approximately 80 nucleotides in length. Their secondary structure includes four short double-helical elements and three loops (D, anti-codon, and T loops). Further hydrogen bonds mediate the characteristic L-shaped molecular structure. tRNAs have two regions of fundamental functional importance: the anti-codon, which is responsible for specific mRNA codon recognition, and the 3' end, to which the tRNAs corresponding amino acid is attached (by aminoacyl-tRNA synthetases). tRNAs cope with the degeneracy of the genetic code in two manners: having more than one tRNA (with a specific anti-codon) for a particular amino acid; and 'wobble' base-pairing, i.e. permitting non-standard base-pairing at the 3rd anti-codon position.
Source: Rfam by way of RNAcentral